Molecule: long non-coding RNA, 1137 nt
Filed under: Setaria viridis
Lineage: Eukaryota; Viridiplantae; Streptophyta; Magnoliopsida; Poales; Poaceae
Description: long non-coding RNA (SVIR_LNC005477)
Source: RNAcentral
AGCUUUGAUUUUUAUGCAAAAAAAUGGCAAUUUAUAUGCAACCCCAUUCAUCUGACACAAAACAAAUAUCUACUGUGAUUUGAACCAAUUAUGGCACGAAUUAUAUACACGCAGCAGGAAGUACAUAUGAUAGAACACGGACAUAUAUAUGAUUACAAAAACCAUGUGAGCACACCUGCACAUAAAAAAUCAGACCACACAGCGGCUACAAGAAAAAACGGGAAAACAAAGCAUUAUACCUGUAGACCACAGGCAAAAGAUCAAGAACUUAUUUUUCCCAUCCUGAGAUUCAUAAAAUGCAUGCAUCCUGUGCCUGGUCAGUGCGCCCAGAUCUCAUGGCCUCCACCUCCCACAGCGCUGGCCAGCUAGAAUGGCUUGUCCAGCACAAUAAGCACCAGCUAUCUCCAAAUCUGCAGAGAAUUAAUUUCUGGACAAUGAAGAGCACUAGUGCAGCUGCUGCUACCUCAGCGGCAUAUCAUCGAACGGUUUACCUACACCUGGUUUGGAUGCAGCCGUGUCGAGAGUCAAGACUCUCCAUCCUGUCGCCGUGCGGGAGAGGGCACCGCUGCAGUUUAUGCCGUUCCGAAGGGCCGCUGCCGCCCGGAUCAGGGAGGUUGACGAGGUUCUGAUGGGGGCGCCGCCGGUGCACGAGCGACGUGCUGCUCCCGCUCAUCCCCUUUCAGCGCCAGGCCGCCUCUCGCGCGAUACAGGCCCAGCGCCGCCGGUGGAGAGGAGGGAGCACUGCUGCCGACGAGCGCCACGCCUGGAUAAGCGCCGCCGGUGUGGGGGUGGGGUCACACAUGACAGCCUCGCUCCUGGCCUCCACCGCAGCAGCACGCAUCGAUCUACGACCGUAUCACAUGUGGAUGCAAGCCGAGGAGGGGUGGGGGCGCCAGCCCGCUUCCAGCCGCGCCGCACGGAUCUCGUCGAUGCAGGUCGCCGAGGGGAGAGAGGCGAGGGAGGGUGCCGAAUGGCAGAAGCUUAAACUGCCAAUUUUCUGCACGAUUUCUGCCAUGACUUUCAUUAAUUAAUUAAAUAGUUUUGUGUUUUCUGCCAAUUUGGUGGCUCAUACCCAGGAAAAAAAACCGCGCCGUGCGAGCGUGAGCGCGGGACGCACGAGGUGCUCAAACUGCCAUU